This 396-nucleotide ribosomal RNA is filed under the name uncultured bacterium. Its description in RNAcentral is "partial 16S ribosomal RNA". It matches the Rfam family "Bacterial small subunit ribosomal RNA", at positions 523 to 918 of the family's 1533-position model. The record is from RNAcentral.
AUACGUAGGGGGCAAGCGUUAUCCGGAAUCAUUGGGCGUAAAGAGUGCGUAGGUGGUUUCUUAAGCGUGGGGUUUAAGGCUACGGCUUAACCGUAGUUCGCCCCAUGAACUGGGAGACUUGAGUGCAGGAGGGGAAAGUGGAAUUCCUAGUGUAGCGGUGAAAUGCGUAGAUAUUAGGAGGAACACCAGUGGCGAAAGCGGCCUUCUGGCCCAUUUCUGACGCUCAGACACGAAAGCUAAGGUAGCAAACGGGAUGAGAGACCCCGGUAGUCUUAGCUGUAAACGAUGUGAACUUAGUGGCGGUGGGGUUAAAUCCAUCGGUACUGAAGCAAACGCGAUAAGUUCACCGCCUGAGGACUACGGCCGCAAGGUUAAAACUCAAAUGAAUUGACGGGG